AUCUUCCAGUGUUGCUAGUUCAAAAUGCCAAACUCCAGAACCUCAUCUCAGAUCUACCAAAGGUGCAUCUCCAGGUGGUGGAGCCUGGGAAUCUGAAUUUUAAUACACACCAAGAAAUCUAACAUGCAUUAGACACCAAGAAUCAUUUCUCCAUAUUCUGCUAUUAUUCAUCAAUGGAGGAAAAUAGGCAAAGCUAAUCAGAUAUGUAGAGAAUUUUAUUUUUUCAUGCAUCACUCAGUACAAAUGUAUAGUCACUACUAUAUAUCAGGCAAUGAGUCUAGUCCUGUUAGGUCACACUAUAGGAGAAAAUUAGGUCUCCUAUAGGAGAAAAUUGCAUAUCUGCUCAUAGUUUGGAGCCAUUAGCUUUGCUUGGGGAGGUUGUAUUGGUGAAGAUGUAUUCAGCUGCAAGUUAUGGAAUAUCCAACCAAAAGCAGCUUUAAAUUACAGAUAUUUAAUUGUCUAUUAAAUUAAAAAGUACAGCUGGAUAGAGUUCUGGAUUUGGUGAGCAGACCAACAGCAAGCCUCUAGCCACUUACUACCACCCUGCUUGCCAUCCUCAGCAAGCUGCCAGAGUGGAGAAGAUGUCACCUCCUUUGUCCUAGACAUAGUAUUUCUUUUAAUUCAGCCUGAAGUCACAUUGGCACUUUUUUCUUUUUUGGCAGCCACAUCAAUUCCAACUCAUUUGGAGUCAACUAGUACUCUCAGUUUUUUUUAACAUGCUGCUGCUGCUAAGCCACUUCCCACUGACGUGUAUUUUGCACAGAUUUUGCUUUAUUUUGCUGUGUUGUUUUUGAGAGGUAACAAUUUCCCUUGCAUGGUAGCUUUGCAGAAAGGGAAUCACUCUCCUGCAAAGGUGCACAAACUACAAUCCAGUACAAAUCCAUCCUGUUCAGCCACAAGGCCUGGUUCUCAAGCCCCUAAUUAUGCCACAAAGGAGGAAGUGCUUCUUCAGCUAUGAACUCUUACGCGGCAAAUCCUGUAGAUAAUAAUCCCAACCUACUGAUUACGCCAGGGCAGGUGCUGAUUCCUAUUCCCCCCAAACACACAUCUCAAGCUGGUAGGAUGGGGCUGAACCUAAGAUUCUGUCAUGUCAUAUGGUUAUUUUACCUUCUGACUACAUAAAGUGCCUGUUGGGACCUAAUUUUUUGUUUGUUUGUUUGUUUGUUUUGUUUUGUUUUGUUUUUUGAGACAGAGUCUCAUUCUGUUCCCCAGGCUGGAGUGUAGUGGCAUGAUCUCAGCUCACUGCAACCCCCGCCUCCCAGGUUCAAGCAAUUCUCCUGCCUCAGCCUCCCAAGUAGCUGGGACUACAGGCGGCACCACCACACCAGGCUAAUUUUUGUAUUUUUAGUAGAGACAGGGUUUCACUAUGUUGGCCAGGCUGGUCUCGAACUCCUGACCUCAGGUGUUCCACAUGCCUCAGCCUCCCAAAGUGCUGGGAUUACAGGCAUAAGCCACCAACCACAGCCCCUAAUGUUUUUCUUAUCAUGCAGCUUGAAAGUCCCUCAGCUUGACAGUGUGGGGAGAUGAAGGCAAACCCGCAUACAGGAAAGGAGAGAGCUACACAGUGAGAGAAGUUGUUGCUUGAUUGGUGCAGAGUUCUGUGGCUUCCAAAUAGGCUGCCCAUCAUGUUCUCAAAGUGGAGGGAGUGACAGACCUGCUCAGAAAACCUAGGCUCCUGGUUUUGCCUUAGACCUGAUAAGCAGAAUGUGCUAGAAAUCCGAGGGAUUUGAGCCUUUGUCACACAGAUAAUGAUGGAAACAACUGGUAUAUGGGUUUGGAGAAGAGGGAACAGAAGCUCAGUAAGCAGUUUUAACUGACUCUAUGCUCCCCAUACCAGGACCAGGACAUGCCGUAACCACCAAAACAGCCCAAUUCAAUUCAACUUUGUGUAAUAAAAUGGAGAGUUUUCUGUUGCCAUGUACCUCCAAGUUAAAGGUCACAUAAUCUGAGCAUGCCCAGACGAACCAACUGUGCAACCAUGAGCAGAACCUAAGUGUCUGGCCCAAGGAAUGAGGACUGAAUUAAGAAAUGGACAUCACAUGUCAGGAUCCAAUCAGAUGAAUCCCUGGCAUCACCCCAUGGCAGGAUCCAGUCAGAGCACACCUCCCAGUAUCACCUCAUCACCUCAUUUCAAGAUCCAAUCUGAUCACACCUCACUACCCUACGCUUAUAAAACCUAUCCCAGCUCUCAGCUCAGGGAGACAGAUCUGAACAUUUCUUCCUAUGUCCUUACCAGUCGACUUGCUUUUCUUUCCUCAAAAGCUUGUCCCAUGGUAUUGGCCACUCUGCACAUCAGGAAACAAGCCCAUUCAUUGCCUAGCAACGAUGGAAACUACUGGAAAAGAUUUAUUUCAAAUCUUCAGUGAUUUCAUCUCUGUAAAGGUGUGCUCCCCUGAGUGUGGUAAGGUCCUCAUCACUAGAAGUAUUCAGUUAUGAACUGGACAACCAUCCGGUUAGGAUUCUUUAGAAAUAAUUGAAACACUGGUUGGGUGUUUCUGGGAUUUUGAAAAUCUUUUCAAGCCAUUGAAGUCUUUACUUUUCUACUUAAAACCUCUACACGUUUGUGU
RNAcentral lists this long non-coding RNA (2567 nucleotides) under Homo sapiens (human). RNAcentral describes it as "HSALNT0124192". The record is from RNAcentral. Lineage: Eukaryota; Metazoa; Chordata; Mammalia; Primates; Hominidae.